UUGCAAGGCAGAUGGACACAGCAGCAGCACAUAAGAGCACACGCGUGGGGCUCCAGCCCGGCCACGGGGAGACCUUUUCUCAGCAAAGGGCAGCACUGCUCGCUUUGCUGGGGCAGCCCUCCCAGGAAGAUCCCAGAAGAGAUGGUCUGAGGUGUGUGAACACUGUGAAUGUCAUGGACAAAGCUCAGCGUGGGACCCCAUGGGACUUCAGGCCCUGAAAGCAGCAGAUCUCACCUGCAUUGGAGGAUGAGACGCCACAUGAAGAAGAAAGAAGACGCCACAGACAGCAGCGCAGUACCACCUUCCAGAGAUAGUUCUUGAAGCUAUAAAGCCAAGUCAAGCACCACCAGGCCUUAUCUGCAAUGCCUAGAGAUUCAGAUGGGUUCUUCUCUUCUUGAGGUCCUAAAAACAUCCUGAGUUUCUUUGGCCUGCCAGAAAGUCACCUUCCUGACUCACCUGUAAGGCUGGGAACUCCAUAAUCCAGUUGGAAAUGCAGAAAUCACCUGUCUUCUGCGUCGAUCAGGCUGGGAGCUGCAGACCGGAGCUGUUCCUAUUCGGCCAUCUUGGAAUGGACCCCCAUGUCUUAUUCUCAAAUAAAACAUUUUGGUCAAAG
This 613-nucleotide long non-coding RNA is filed under the name Homo sapiens (human). RNAcentral describes it as "HSALNT0324039". Lineage: Eukaryota; Metazoa; Chordata; Mammalia; Primates; Hominidae. The record is from RNAcentral.